RNAcentral lists this ribosomal RNA (1359 nucleotides) under Oxypeltus quadrispinosus. RNAcentral describes it as "eukaryotic LSU rRNA". It matches the Rfam family "Eukaryotic large subunit ribosomal RNA", at positions 70 to 1139 of the family's 3401-position model. The record is from RNAcentral. Lineage: Eukaryota; Metazoa; Arthropoda; Insecta; Coleoptera; Cerambycidae.
UAGGAUUUCCUCAGUAGCUGCGAGCGAACAGGGAYGAGCCCAGCACCGAAUCCCGCGGCCGAUACCGGGCGCCGGGAAAUGUGGUGUUAGGGAGGAUCCGUUUAUCCCGAGGUCGCGCGGCGCGUCCAAGUCCUUCUUGAACGGGGCCACAGCCCAUAGAGGGUGCCAGGCCCGUAGCGACCGCCGCCGAUCGCGGGAGGAUCUCUCCUCAGAGUCGGGUUGCUUGAGAGUGCAGCCCUAAGCGGGUGGUAAACUCCAUCUAAGGCUAAAUACGACCACGAGACCGAUAGCGAACAAGUACCGUGAGGGAAAGUUGAAAAGCACUUUGAAGAGAGAGUUCAAGAGUACGUGAAACCGUUUAGGGGUAAACCUGAGAAACCCGAAAGGUCGAAUGGGGAAAUUCAUUCGCGUUUCGACCGUCGGCGGCGAGCGAUCGAGUGACGGACGGCGUCCGCGUCGUCCGCGCCUUUCGUUCGUCGAACCGACGUCGAACGCGUGCACUUUUCCCCUAGUAGGACGUCGCGAUUCGUUGGGCGUCGGUCUAAGGCUCUCGCGGUGGAGCCCGCGCGGACGCUUCGGCGAUCCGCGCGGACCCGCGGUGUCCCGGCCGACUCGCUCGACGGUAUAACGAUGGCGCGAGGCCGCUACUUUCGGUUAGCGUUCGGCCCGCGGCAAGCGCGCCCGGCGUUCGGCGGCGAUCGGACCCGGUGCCGGUCCCGUCCCCGGGCGACUGUUGGCCGCGGUGUUCUCGAACCGACCUCGUAAGAAACGCCUAUCCGCGACGCUAUAGCUUUGGGUACUUUCAGGACCCGUCUUGAAACACGGACCAAGGAGUCUAGCAUGUGCGCGAGUCAUUGGGACAUCACUAAACCUAAAGGCGCAAUGAAAGUAAAGGUUCGCCUCGCGCGAACCGAGGGAAGAUGGGCGGUUCGCCCUUAAAAGCGGCCGCUCCGCACUCCCGGGGCGUCUCGUUCUCAUCGCGAGAAGAGGCGCACCAAGAGCGUACACGCUGGGACCCGAAAGAUGGUGAACUAUGCCUGGUCAGGACGAAGUCAGGGGAAACCCUGAUGGAGGUCCGUAGCGAUUCUGACGUGCAAAUCGAUCGUCGGAACUGGGUAUAGGGGCGAAAGACUAAUCGAACCAUCUAGUAGCUGGUUCCCUCCGAAGUUUCCCUCAGGAUAGCUGGCGCUCGUUGCGCACGAGUCUCAUCCGGUAAAGCGAAUGAUUAGAGGCAUUGGGGUCGAAACGACCUCAACCUAUUCUCAAACUUUAAAUGGGUGAGAUCUCCGGCUUGCUCGAAUUAAUUCGUUUAUCUGAAGCCGCGAGACACGGAUCAGAGUGCCAAGUGGGCCAUUUUUG